Culex pipiens pallens (northern house mosquito) is the source of this 942-nucleotide long non-coding RNA. RefSeq lists it as uncharacterized. Lineage: Eukaryota; Metazoa; Arthropoda; Insecta; Diptera; Culicidae. The record is from RefSeq and is a predicted model, not a curated record. The transcript is spliced from 2 exons.
AGAAUACUACAUCAAACAAAAAAAAUCACACAACUUUGUCAUACAAAAAUACACAAAUUCUUAAAUUCAAAAAUAAAAAAAACAAUUCAAGCAAAACAAUGUAAAAGGUCCAAAGUCAAAAAUGUAAACAGACCGGAUUUUCGCUGCAAACAAGUCUAAGAGUCUUAAACUAUCGCUACAUAUCGAGAAAAGUAUAAAAAAGUGAGUUUUAAGUGAAAAAUAAGCCAGUUCACAAAAGACCAAAGCCAAUGAUAUUUUGUUUGUAAUCAAAAUCCUCAUAGACCCUUUACUUCUAAGGGCCAAUGUGGAAACUGGGUUGUUUUGUUUUGGAAUCGUGUUAGACCCAGGGACAAAAACAUUGUCUUCCAAAACAAACACCGAAACAAAGUGUGGCCCUUUGUUUCAAAUUGGUGCGAAACAGCCAGCGGUCGGGACGGAACGGUGUAUCGAGGCCACGGAACACAUCUACGUCAUUCGCCAGCAUUUCGGAAAGCUGAGAUAUCGGAUCUCAAACCUCAUCAGCAACACAAUCCUGGCUGUUCCCGCUUCUUCAACUAUUUCACGUGAAAAUUUUGUGGAAGUGACCAAACGAGUGCCGACGACACGAACCCCGACACGGAGCAUCGAUCGGCGUGGAACGGUGGAUGCGUCAGUGUUUAUAAUAAGAACAUGCUAGCCUCGGACGCCAGCUUCGCCUACGAGAAGGAGGAAGCUGUUGGUGGUGAACAAUAAAGGCACCUCGGAAGGAGAGAGAAUCUGCUACCGGAAGCAGCGGCGGCCCGUACAAGUCAGCGCCGGCAACUGCUCACCGCCACCUCGACGACGAUCCGGACGACUGACAAACCAUUUCCGUUCCAAUGCCAUCCGCGACGUCUCCAAUCAACGAACUAACUCUUCCACUAUCAAAAAUGUAUUCAAAAUAAAAAUUCCCCGUUAACUCUG